This is a long non-coding RNA of Vicia villosa (hairy vetch), 531 nucleotides long. RefSeq lists it as uncharacterized. NCBI's taxonomy places the organism in Eukaryota, Viridiplantae, Streptophyta, Magnoliopsida, Fabales, Fabaceae. The transcript is spliced from 4 exons. The record is from RefSeq and is a predicted model, not a curated record.
AACAUAAUUUGCUUUCUCGAUGAACAAAUCCACUGCCCAAAUCUUCUUCUCCUUACUAAACUUACCCAAUGUUUUCUUCUUUUUCUACUCUCUCUUUCUCAUCUUCAACUUAUUUUUGUUGAUUUGUUAUACUGUGUUUUGGAGAUCUAUUAAAAGUUUUUCAUUUUCAUCAAGAAAAAAUAAAGAACAAGAGUAGAUCUAUUUAAAGUAGUCAAUUUAUAUCAAGAAAAAAUAUAAAGAACAAGAGUAGGUUGUUCAUCUUCAUCAAGAAAAAAAUAAAGAAAAAUGAGACGGAGGGGAAUAGAUGAAGGAUGUGUGUGGUGGUGAAAUUAGGACUUGAAGUUGAAGAGAAGAUGAAAAAGGUGAAGGUUGUGUUGAUGGUGGAAUGACAAUGUGAUUUUGAAGAUGAAAGGUGAAAGAUAAAGUUGCCAUGGUGAAGAUAUUAGAUUUUGAGGUUGAACUUUCUUGUAAUAUAUAUUGACUUGAUUUGUAUUUUUGAUUGUAUUCUUAUCUCUAUUUGUCUAAAUUAUU